This 3081-nucleotide long non-coding RNA is filed under the name Trifolium pratense (red clover). RNAcentral's name for it is "long non-coding RNA (TPRA_LNC014014)". Lineage: Eukaryota; Viridiplantae; Streptophyta; Magnoliopsida; Fabales; Fabaceae. The record is from RNAcentral.
UUUCCACAAUGAUUUAACUUUAUAUAUGUAAAAGCUUAAUUAGUUCCUUCUUAUUGCCACAUCCCAACAUAUGCAUCUUAUAAGCAUUAACCAAUAAAACAAAACAAGUAAAACGAACUUACAUAUCACCCAACUACAAGCAAGUCCAAGCCAAAGCCAUAAAUCACAUCUAUACUAACCUACUUUUCACCAAUACUUCUAUAAACAUGCAUACUUCUGUAAACUAUGUCAAAAAAAAAUGUAUACUCCUAUAAACAACUAAUCAAAAUAACCUGAUUAGAACCUGCACAGCCUCUUAUGCAUCCUGCACAGAAAAAUGUAACCAUAAAUAAUUAAUGUCAUUUUCAACAGCCUCAAAAAAAUUAUAGGGUUCCAACUCUUACCAAGCAAUUCAUUGACCACUAAAGCAUUUUGCUCAAACAUUACAGGUGAAAUCUAAUAUCCCCAGAUCCACCAUUAUUACUUGGGCAUAGGUUUUGUGAAAUAUGAAGAUUGAAGAAAAGUAAAUAAAACUGCUAUCAUUCAUUCUGCCAAUUAGUAAGUCUUCAUAUUAGUAAGAACAUGGGGAGACACACACACGGGUGGGUUCCAACUUCCAACUAUAAGCUCAACUCAAACGACUUGUUGAGUUGAGAGGAGAGUGCCGACCCCUUCUUUUACAUUUUUUAAUUAAUUAAUGCAAAUUUCAGUUUAACUUUAAUUCUUUUUUUCGACUAAAUCUUUAUUUUAAUUUUAACUUGAUCUUAUCUUUUUUGGUAAGUAGUAGUAUAGUAAAUGACUAGAUUCACACACGUGUUAAUUAUAGAAAAGUAAAUAAAACUGCUAUCAUUCAUUCUGCCGAUUAGUAAUAUACCAUAAAAUCUAUUUUUAUAACAAUUUGAUGCUAUAAUAAUACUUUCCUACAACAUGGUUUUGCUGAGAAAACAGGUUAUGGACUUAUUAUUAGCUAAUUAGAUACAAUAUUCAGAUUAAAAAGAUAUAGUUUAGUAUUUACUGCAUUGAGCUUAUAUAUAACUUGUUAUUUUAACUGUGACAUUAGCUAGGUUACAUAUAUUUUGGAAUAACGUGCAGUACACAGACGUGACAUACAAGAUAGUGACUAAAGGCAUGACAAUAAAUGUAAAAAGUUUGGAAGAUGUUUUACCUUAGAGGAGAGAAUCAAAAGAGGCUUAAAGUGUGAGGAAGAAGACGAGAGGCGGUGACGGGCGAUGCAGCGUUGUGCAAAGUGAAUAGCCAAACAAGAUUCCACAUAACAAAGCAAAAAUAGCCAAAAUUUAAAUACAGUUUUAAUGUAUAUAUAUAUAUAUAUAUAUAUAUAUAAUGCUAUCAGCAUGAAAGAAGGCAAAAAUCAUUUAUAAUCUCAUAACCAAAUAUAGAAAGUGGCAGAGGACAUAGAUUCACCGACUUUCAUUUGAUUCAUACAUAGCUCUAAGAAUAAAUAGCUCAAAAGAUAUAAUAUAGUUAAUUGAGAUUGAAGAUACCAAUGUGUUCUGUUACUUUGUUCUUUACUUCUUUUCCAGCAAACCUGUCUCACACAAAUGAGAACCUGAAUAUGGAUAAAUUGUAAUAAAAUUAAGUAUCUGAGAACUCACAAGUUAGAAGAUACCAAUGUUUUCUGUCACUUUGUUUUUUUCCAGCAAACAUAUCUCAGACAAGUUAUAUUAUAUGAGAACCUGAAUAUGGAUAAAUUGCAACAAAAAUAACUACAUGAGAACGCACAAGUUAAUUGAAUGUAGAGUAGAGAUAGUGGCAAUAAAAUUAGACAUAAAGAUUUACAAUCACACUUAUAUUUUAAUAGUUUUAAAGCUUAGCAAUUGAGGUUCUACACAUUAGAAUUACUAACACGUUGUAAAGAAAAUUGUGUGUUAAAAAUGAGGUAUACAUUAACCUUCCAUCAAAACUGAUAGAACAUAUAUCAGUUCUAAAAAAAAAGAGCCUAUUUAUGAACUAUACAUUGCUACUUAAAAUGCCUAAUAGUAUUAGUACUACAUGAUAAGUACGUAACUUGAACAAGGAGAACAAGAAAGCAUGCAUAAGACAUGCCUUAUAAGGAGAACAAGAAACAAAGGUUACCAACAGGCGAACCCACAAUAUAGAAGGAAACAAAAAGGCACAAAGAGUGAUAGAAGGAAAUAAUGAUGAGGUGGCAUGAGUGCAUGAAGAGCAUGAGGACUCACUCCAAGCUUUUCUUCCAUUCUACUUCAUUAUUAUUACUGUUUCAUUCAUUUUCUUAAUUGGUCCGACCUACCGGAUCCGACGAGAGCCGGAUCCGACGAGAGCCAGUGAUGGAGGAUGUUUGGACUAUGAAGAAUCAAUUACCGGGUUUCAUGGGAACCGAUCCUGUUGGCUGGAUCGCUGUGGCCGAAUGGUUCUUUGAGAAGAAUGAAGUCCCUUGUCGCGAUAAGCUUCGGUGGGCUUUUAUGAGCAUGGAGGAUGAACAAGCGAGGAUGUGGUUAUAUUAUUGGUGUGAAGAGAACCCCGAUGCAGAUUGGAAAACGUUUUCCAUGGCUAUGAUGAGACAAUCUGGAGCACAGGUGGAGUACUUGACAGAAAAACACGUUGAGCCAAAAUUGAAGGUGAUCGAGGCAUUCUCCGAUGACCGAGAAGAAGUUCGCAUCAAAGAAACUGAUCGUAAUCCCAAUGGCGGAAAGGUUGGAAACNNNNNNNNNNNAAGGUUGGAAACAACUGAGACACAAAGAAGUGGGAAGGAAGGAGCGAAUGAUGAAUGAUUCUGUGAGCGUGAUGAAGAUGAAAGAGAAACAGGGGAAAACGGUAGAGGGGAAAGAAAUCUAUCAUACAAUACAAUCAUGUGUGAAGGAAUCGGUGCUAGGUCCUUGAAGAUUCUGACCAAUCUCUCACCGUCGUCAGAAUCGAUAGAUCGGAAAGAGCACGCAGAAGAAAAUGAGAUGCAGAGCGUGGAAGAAAUAGUUAUGCAGGAACUUACGAAGUCGCCGGACUGUGGUCAACCUGCGAUGGCACUAAUCAACAGUUAGCGAACAUUGAACAGUUUGUGACACUUGGUGAUGAGUCGCGAAAGGAAACUGCAGGGUUGAUGUUCAGCGAAUCACCAUGGGAGCUAUG